UACGUAGGGUGCGAGCGUUGUCCGGAAUUAUUGGGCGUAAAGAGCUUGUAGGCGGCUUGUCGCGUCUGCUGUGAAAACCCGGGGCUUAACCCCGGGCUUGCAGUGGGUACGGGCAGGCUAGAGUGUGGUAGGGGAGACUGGAAUUCCUGGUGUAGCGGUGGAAUGCGCAGAUAUCAGGAGGAACACCGAUGGCGAAGGCAGGUCUCUGGGCCAUUACUGACGCUGAGAAGCGAAAGCGUGGGGAGCGAACAGG
Molecule: non-coding RNA, 253 nt
Filed under: uncultured bacterium
Lineage: Bacteria
Also listed under: 2 other names
Description: partial 16S ribosomal RNA
Rfam family: Bacterial small subunit ribosomal RNA
Source: RNAcentral